Cheilinus undulatus (humphead wrasse) is the source of this 138-nucleotide small nucleolar RNA. RefSeq annotates it as small nucleolar RNA SNORA29. The transcript has a single exon. The record is from RefSeq and is a predicted model, not a curated record. NCBI's taxonomy places the organism in Eukaryota, Metazoa, Chordata, Actinopteri, Labriformes, Labridae.
CAUCCCGUUUUAGUACCUGCCACUCGUAUCUCGUUGAAUGGGAGGUUAUGCUAAUGGGAUAGAAAAACACUGUCAUGGUCUGAGGGUGUGGUUAAUUUAUUGUGUACCACACUAAAUAAAAUGACUGUACAUGUAAAU